UUCCGGUUGAUCCUGCCGGAGGCCAUUGCUAUCGGAGUUCGACUUAGCCAUGCUAGUCGCACGGGUUCAGACCCGUGGCAAAUAGCUCAGUAACACGUGGUCAAACUGCCCUACAGAUCGGGAUAACCUCGGGAAACUGAGGCUAAUCCCGAAUAGGACUCUCAAGCUGGAGUGCUGAGAGUCUCAAACGCUCCGGCGCUGUAGGAUGUGGCUGCGGCCGAUUAGGUAGACGGUGGGGUAACGGCCCACCGUGCCGAUAAUCGGUACGGGUUGUGAGAGCAAGAGCCCGGAGACGGUAUCUGAGACAAGAUACCGGGCCCUACGGGGCGCAGCAGGCGCGAAACCUUUACACUGCACGACAGUGCGAUAAGGGGACUCCAAGUGCGAGGGCAUAUCGUCCUCGCUUUUUCCUACCGUAAGGUGGUAGGCGAAUAAGGGCUGGGCAAGACCGGUGCCAGCCGCCGCGGUAAUACCGGCAGCCCAAGUGAUGACCGCUAUUAUUGGGCCUAAAGCGUCCGUAGCCGGCCGAACAAGUCCGUCGGGAAAUCCGCACGCCUAACGUGCGGGCGUCCGGCGGAAACUGUUCGGCUUGGGACCGGAAGAUCCAGAGGGUACGUCUGGGGUAGGAGUGAAAUCCCGUAAUCCUGGACGGACCACCGGUGGCGAAGGCGCUCUGGAAGGACGGAUCCGACGGUGAGGGACGAAAGCUAGGGUCACGAACCGGAUUAGAUACCCGGGUAGUCCUAGCCGUAAACGAUGUCUGCUAGGUGUGGCGCUGGCUACGAGCCAGCGCUGUGCCGUAGGGAAGCCGUGAAGCAGACCGCCUGGGAAGUACGUCUGCAAGGAUGAAACUUAAAGGAAUUGGCGGGGGAGCACUACAACCGGAGGAGCCUGCGGUUUAAUUGGAUUCAACGCCGGG
This 919-nucleotide ribosomal RNA is filed under the name uncultured archaeon. RNAcentral's name for it is "bacterial SSU rRNA". It matches the Rfam family "Archaeal small subunit ribosomal RNA", at positions 1 to 922 of the family's 1478-position model. The record is from RNAcentral.